AUUGAACGCUGGCGGCAGGCCUAACACAUGCAAGUCGAGCGGAUGAAGGGUGCUUGCUCCUGGAUUCAGCGGCGGACGGGUGAGUAAUGCCUAGGAAUCUGCCUGGUAGUGGGGGCUAACGUCCGGACACGGGCGCUAAUACCGCAUACGUCCUGAGGGAGAAAGUGGGGGAUCUUCGGACCUCACGCUAUCAGAUGAGCCUAGGUCGGAUUAGCUAGUUGGUGGGGUAAAGGCCUACCAAGGCGACGAUCCGUAACUGGUCUGAGAGGAUGAUCAGUCACACUGGAACUGAGACACGGUCCAGACUCCUACGGGAGGCAGCAGUGGGGAAUAUUGGACAAUGGGCGAAAGCCUGAUCCAGCCAUGCCGCGUGUGUGAAGAAGGUCUUCGGAUUGUAAAGCACUUUAAGUUGGGAGGAAGGGCAGUAAGUUAAUACCUUGCUGUUUUGACGUUACCAACAGAAUAAGCACCGGCUAACUUCGUG
RNAcentral lists this ribosomal RNA (484 nucleotides) under uncultured bacterium. RNAcentral describes it as "partial 16S ribosomal RNA". It matches the Rfam family "Bacterial small subunit ribosomal RNA", at positions 30 to 507 of the family's 1533-position model. The record is from RNAcentral.